Molecule: ribosomal RNA, 254 nt
Filed under: uncultured bacterium
Lineage: Bacteria
Description: partial 16S ribosomal RNA
Rfam family: Bacterial small subunit ribosomal RNA
Source: RNAcentral
UACAGAGGGUGCAAGCGUUGUUCGGAAUUAUUGGGCGUAAAGGGCGCGUAGGCGGUGCGGUAAGUCUCUAGUGAAAUCUCCGGGCUCAACUCGGAGCCUGCUAGGGAAACUGCCGUGCUUGAGUGUGGGAGAGGUGAGUGGAAUUCCCGGUGUAGCGGUGAAAUGCGUAGAUAUCGGGGAGGAACACCUGUGGCGAAAGCGGCUCACUGGACCACAACUGACGCUGAGGCGCGAAAGCUAGGGGAGCAAACAGG